This 1009-nucleotide long non-coding RNA is filed under the name Ananas comosus (pineapple). RNAcentral describes it as "long non-coding RNA (ACOM_LNC014268)". The record is from RNAcentral. Lineage: Eukaryota; Viridiplantae; Streptophyta; Magnoliopsida; Poales; Bromeliaceae.
UAUAUAUAUAUAUAUAAAAUUUAUUUUUAUUUAUUUAUACAAUAAAUAAAAUAUUUAAUAAUUUUUAUUCCUUAGAUCUUCAUCCAGCGAUUAAAUAUUUUAUAUAUUGUAUAAAUAAAUAAAAAUAAAUUAUAUAUAUAUAUAUAUAAUUUAUUCGGGUUUGGGUUCGGAUAAUAUUUCGUAUAUCUAUACCUAUUGACAUCGCUACUCCCUAUUCCUCUUUUUAAUAUACAAAAUAUACGUAAAAACACGGUGAAUCAUUUACCGUGUUUAUACACGGUGAAUGGUUCACCGUGUUUAACUUAACACAUUGACCCUGGCCCCACCUGCGUGGCGCUGACAUAGCGCCUGCGUGGCAGGCUCAGAGUCAUUUUUACAAAUUAAAUUUUAAAAGGGCUAUUUUUAAAAUAAAAAUUUGUCGGAGACUAUGAAAAAAAAGAGCCCUUUUUGAUAAUAUAGUUUCAUGAUUGCGAAUAUGGAGCACGUGAAUCAGAGUUGGUCUUGUUAAAUAGGCAUAAGUUCACGUAUUCUGACGUAAUGUUAAUUUUAAAAAUAGUGUCAACGUAUCAUUAUGUAGUAGUUCUUCAAGCCUAAUCAGGGGUGAUGUAUCUGCACCAUAAGUACUUGAAAUUUGGCUUCGCGACACCAUAAAUUAGCAUUUGGAUGCUGAUUUGGUAGGUUUCCGUUUUGGGGUUUGCGAUNAUAUAUAUAUAUAAUUUAUUCGGGUUUGGGUUCGGAUAAUAUUUCGGAUAUCCAUACCUAUUGACAUCUCUACUCCCUAUUCCUCUUUUCAAUAUACAAAAUAUACGUAAGAAACACGGUGAAUCAUUCACUCAUUCACCGUGUUUAGACACGGUGAAUGGUUCACCGUGUUUAACUUAACACAUUGACCCUGGCCCCGCCCGCGUGGCACUGACGUGGCGCCUGCGUGGCAGGCCCAGAAUCAUUUUUAUAAAUUAAAUUUUAAGAGGGCUAUUUUUUAAAUAAAAAUUUGCCAGGGUACUAUAUG